AUUGAACGCUGGCGGCAUGCCUUACACAUGCAAGUCGAACGGUAACAGGUCUUCGGAUGCUGACGAGUGGCGAACGGGUGAGUAAUACAUCGGAACGUGCCUAGUAGUGGGGGAUAACUACUCGAAAGAGUGGCUAAUACCGCAUGAGAUCUACGGAUGAAAGCAGGGGAUCGCAAGACCUUGUGCUACUAGAGCGGCCGAUGGCAGAUUAGGUAGUUGGUGGGAUAAAAGCUUACCAAGCCGACGAUCUGUAGCUGGUCUGAGAGGACGAUCAGCCACACUGGGACUGGGAAACGGCCCAGACUCCUACGGGAGGCAGCAGUGGGGAAUUUUGGACAAUGGGCGCAAGCCUGAUCCAGCAGUGCCGCGUGAAGGAUGAAGGCCUUCGGGUUGUAAACUGCUUUUGUACGGAACGAAAAGCCCCGGGUUAAUACCCUGGGGUCAUGACGGUACCGUAAGAAUAAGCACCGGCUAACUACGUGCCAGCAGCCGCCGUAA
This 498-nucleotide ribosomal RNA is filed under the name uncultured bacterium. Its description in RNAcentral is "partial 16S ribosomal RNA". It matches the Rfam family "Bacterial small subunit ribosomal RNA", at positions 30 to 523 of the family's 1533-position model. The record is from RNAcentral.